This 571-nucleotide ribosomal RNA is filed under the name uncultured Hygrophorus. RNAcentral's name for it is "eukaryotic LSU rRNA". The stretch from base 174 to 327 matches the Rfam family "5.8S ribosomal RNA". Lineage: Eukaryota; Fungi; Basidiomycota; Agaricomycetes; Agaricales; Hygrophoraceae. The record is from RNAcentral.
CGGAAGGAUCAUUAUUGAAAUAUAUAUUGGUUGUAGCUGGUCAUCACAAGAUGACAUGUGCACACCUAUAAUCCAAUCUCACACCCUGUGCACCUUUUGUAGACUUUAAUGUCUAUGUUUUAUUACACACCAUAAAAGUUUAGAAUGUUUGGAUACUAUAAUAAUUAUAAUACAACUUUCAACAAUGGAUCUCUUGGCUCUCGCAUCGAUGAAGAACGCAGCGAAACGCGAUAAGUAAUGUGAAUUGCAGAAUUCAGUGAAUCAUCGAAUCUUUGAACGCACCUUGCGCUCCUUGGUAUUCCGAGGAGCAUGCCUGUUUGAGUGUCAUUAAAUCAAUCAAUCACUUUUUUUUGCUUUGAACAAAAAAGGGAUUUGGAUUUGGAGUGUUGCUGGCUUGUCAAAGUCAGCUCCUCUUAAAUGCAUUAGCGUGUACACACUUUGUGGAUAGGCUUUGGUUUGAUAAAAUAUCUAUGCCAUUGCUGUGAAACAAAAAGUCAGCUACUAAUGAGUUAGUUAAUUACUAUCAUUAUUACUCUUGACCUCAAAUCAGGUAGGACUACCCGCUGAACUU